CCCGCACAAGCGGUGGAGCAUGUGGUUUAAUUCGAAGCAACGCGAAGAACCUUACCAGGUCUUGACAUCCCGAUGCUAUUUCUAGAGAUAGAAAGUUACUUCGGUACAUCGGUGACAGGUGGUGCAUGGUUGUCGUCAGCUCGUGUCGUGAGAUGUUGGGUUAAGUCCCGCAACGAGCGCAACCCCCGCCGUUAGUUGCCAGCGGUUCGGCCGGGCACUCUAACGGGACUGCCCGCGAAAGCGGGAGGAAGGAGGGGACGACGUCUGGUCAGCAUGGCCCUUACGGCCUGGGCGACACACGUGCUACAAUGCCCACUACAAAGCGAUGCCACCCGGCAACGGGGAGCUAAUCGCAAAAAGGUGGGCCCAGUUCGGAUUGGGGUCUGCAACCCGACCCCAUGAAGCCGGAAUCGCUAGUAAUCGCGGAUCAGCCAUGCCGCGGUGAAUACGUUCCCGGGCCUU
This 462-nucleotide ribosomal RNA is filed under the name uncultured Thermus sp. RNAcentral's name for it is "bacterial SSU rRNA". It matches the Rfam family "Bacterial small subunit ribosomal RNA", at positions 920 to 1382 of the family's 1533-position model. The record is from RNAcentral. Lineage: Bacteria; Thermotogati; Deinococcota; Deinococci; Thermales; Thermaceae.